GACGAACCGUGCGAACGUUGUUCGGAAUCACUGGGCUUAAAGGGCGCGUAGGCGGGCCGUCCAGUCAGGGGUGAAAUCCUCCAGCUUAACUGGAGAACAGCUUUUGAUACUGACGGCCUCGAGGGGGGUAGGGGCAUGUGGAACUUCCGGUGGAGCGGUGGAAUGCGCAGAUAUCAGGAGGAACACCGAUGGCGAAGGCAGGUCUCUGGGCCAUUACUGACACUGAGGAGCGAAAGCGUGGGGAGCGAACAGG
RNAcentral lists this ribosomal RNA (253 nucleotides) under uncultured bacterium. RNAcentral's name for it is "partial 16S ribosomal RNA". It matches the Rfam family "Bacterial small subunit ribosomal RNA", at positions 524 to 776 of the family's 1533-position model. The record is from RNAcentral.